RNAcentral lists this ribosomal RNA (175 nucleotides) under Rhodeus sericeus (Amur bitterling). RNAcentral's name for it is "partial 12S rRNA". RNAcentral also lists the same sequence under 1 other name. The record is from RNAcentral. Lineage: Eukaryota; Metazoa; Chordata; Actinopteri; Cypriniformes; Acheilognathidae.
CACCGCGGUUAAACGAGAGGCCCCAGUUGACAGUACUGCGGCGUAAAGGGUGGUUAAAGCCUGCAACUUAAUAAAGCUAAAUAGUCCCCCGGCCGUCAUACGCUUCUAGGCGCUAGAAACCCAAUAUACGAAAGUAGCUUUAGCAUCACCGCCUGACCCCACGAAAGCUGAGGAA